This 431-nucleotide ribosomal RNA is filed under the name uncultured bacterium. Its description in RNAcentral is "bacterial SSU rRNA". It matches the Rfam family "Bacterial small subunit ribosomal RNA", at positions 28 to 502 of the family's 1533-position model. The record is from RNAcentral.
GACGAACGCUGGCGGCAGGCUUAACACAUGCAAGUCGAACGGGCGUAGCAAUACGUCAGUGGCAGACGGGUGAGUAACACGUGGGAACCUUCCUAGGGGUACGGAACAACUCAGGGAAACUUGAGCUAAUACCGUAUACGUCCGUAAGGAGAAAGAUUCAUCGCCCCUAGACGGGCCCGCGUCGGAUUAGGUAGUUGGUGGGGUAACGGCCUACCAAGCCUACGAUCCGUAGCUGAUCUGAGAGGAUGAUCAGCCACACUGGGGACUGAGACACGGCCCAGACUCCUACGGGAGGCAGCAGUGGGGAAUCUUGGACAAUGGGCGCAAGCCUGAUCCAGCCAUGCCGCGUGAGUGAAGAAGGCCUUAGGGUUGUAAAGCUCUUUUACCAGGGACGAUAAUGACGGUACCUGGAGAAUAAGCCCCGGCAACUU